Molecule: non-coding RNA, 1008 nt
Organism: Megalopta genalis
Lineage: Eukaryota; Metazoa; Arthropoda; Insecta; Hymenoptera; Halictidae
Source: RefSeq, a predicted model, not a curated record
CGCGCGCCGCUUGAAUCGGCGAAACGAAGAAUUCGGUAUUAGCAGGUCCGAAAAAUAUUCGAUAUGAAGAUUCUCGCGCGUUUUCGUCGUCGAAGCGCCGGGGAAGGAACACCUGGCUCGCGUUCGUCGAUAGAGCCGGAUGUCCUCGGCAGACUAUCAGAAUUUGAUCCUCUUGCCGCGAGUAUUAAGCGGCUCCAUUCGUCGAUCGCGAUGAAAAAUGCCGUAACCGGCUGAGGAACUGCUCGUCGGCUCCCCGUUCCUCUUCCCCCCUCGCCCCUCGGUUACGGGGUAUUACCGAUUUCUUAAUAUCGCGGUGGAGCAGACAUCGGCGAAAUUAAUUCCGUCCUCGGCAGGCGCGCUUGUUCCCGGUGAAAUCGAAUAUUUUAUUAUGGUCUCCGGUGCUCGAACGCCGUCGCCGCGACGGCCGACGACGAGCUGUCGAAGAUCAUCGCGACGGCUUGCACCGACAUCGACGCCCUUUUUGGAAUCCUCCCCGCUCGAAUUUAGCAUCCCCUUCUCGCUGGAAACUUGUCGAAUUUUUAAUCAUUGUACAUACACACCAUCCGCGCGUAAACUCUUCCAAAUGAUCGCUUCAAACUGAUCGUCGCGGCUCUCAAGAGGCCGACCGAAGAGGCCCCACCCCGAAGAAUUUCAUAGAUCACUUUAUGGCCAAUUUAACUUUUUAACGCGUUCGCCGGCAGCCGCGUUAACGCACGUUAGCCCACCCAAUAUUUCGAGAGUCUUGCGGCGGACCUUGCUGCACCGUGCAUCGCAGAGCGGUGGGACAUUUUUAUAUCGAUCUCGCCGGAAGACCCAACCUUCCUGUUCGAACUUCGGCACUUUCAAUUCGCUGCAACGGAGCCGAUUCUUCGAAGGAAUUGGAAUAGAAUGCGACAGUUGUCGAAUGGAAGAGUAUGGAAUUAUUAGACCCAUGAUUGGAGCAUGGUAUUAUUAUUAUUAUUAAUUGUCAAAUGGUAUUAGUAGACUGCGGAUUUCGUGCAUUUAUGU